This 252-nucleotide ribosomal RNA is filed under the name uncultured bacterium. Its description in RNAcentral is "partial 16S ribosomal RNA". It matches the Rfam family "Bacterial small subunit ribosomal RNA", at positions 524 to 776 of the family's 1533-position model. The record is from RNAcentral.
UACGGGGGGGGCAAGCGUUGUUCGGAAUUACUGGGCGUAAAGGGCUCGUAGGCGGCCAACUAAGUCAGACGUGAAAUCCCUCGGCUUAACCGGGGAACUGCGUCUGAUACUGGAUGGCUUAGUGUGGGAGAGGGAUGCGGAAUUCCAGGUGUAGCGGUGAAAUGCGUAGAUAUCAGGAGGAACACCUAUUGCGAAGGCAGCUCGCUGGGACGUUACUGACGCUGAGACGCGAAAGCGUGGGGAGCAAACAGG